CACACAAUGAACAACCAGCUUAGAACUGAUGCGGGCAAGGGGAAUCCGACUGUUUAAUUGAAACAAAGUAUUGCGAUGCCCUGAAAGGAUGUUGACACAAUGUGAUUUCUGCCCAGUGCUCUGAAUGUCAAAGUGAGGAGAUUCAACUAAGCGCGGGUAAACGGCGGGAGUAACUAUGACUCUCUUAAGGUAGCCAAAUGCCUCGUCAUCCAAUUAGUGACGCGCAUGAAUGGAUUAAUGAGAUUCCUACUGUCCCAAUCUACUGUCCAGCGAAACCACAGCCAAGGGAACGGGCUUGGGUGAGUCAGCGGGGAAAGAAGACCCUGUUGAGCUUGACUCUAAUCCGACUUUGUGAAAUGACUUAGGAGGAGUAGGAUAUGUGGGAGCUCAGGUGAUCUUGAAAUACCACUACUUUUAAUGUCACUUUACUUACUCUAUCCAACUGUGCCCUGCCUCACAGCAGGUUUUUGCUUUUAAGGUUGCUCUUUUGGCGUGUUGAUUUGCGUAGAAGACGUCGUCCGGUGGGGAGUUUGGCUGGGGCGGCACAU
RNAcentral lists this ribosomal RNA (548 nucleotides) under Gambierdiscus excentricus. RNAcentral describes it as "partial large subunit ribosomal RNA". It matches the Rfam family "Eukaryotic large subunit ribosomal RNA", at positions 2089 to 2638 of the family's 3401-position model. Lineage: Eukaryota; Dinophyceae; Gonyaulacales; Pyrocystaceae. The record is from RNAcentral.